This 460-nucleotide ribosomal RNA is filed under the name uncultured bacterium. RNAcentral's name for it is "partial 16S ribosomal RNA". It matches the Rfam family "Bacterial small subunit ribosomal RNA", at positions 338 to 795 of the family's 1533-position model. The record is from RNAcentral.
CCUACGGGGAGCAGCAGUGAGGAAUAUUGGUCAAUGGCCGGAAGGCUGAACCAGCCAUGCCGCGUGAAGGUCAGUGCCCUAUGGGCGUUAAACUUCUUUUGUGCGGGAGCAAUAAUGGUCACGUGUGGCCAGACGAGAGUACCGUACGAAUAAGCAUCGGCUAACUCCGUGCCAGCAGCCGCGGUAAUACGGGGGAUGCAAGCGUUAUCCGGAUUUAUUGGGUUUAAAGGGUGCGUAGGCUGUGAGGUAAGUCAGCGGUGAAAUGCCCCCGCUCAACGGGGUGAAGUGCCAUUGAUACUGCCUGGCUGGAAUGCGGAUGCCGUGGGAGGAAUGUGUGGUGUAGCGGUGAAAUGCAUAGAUAUCACACAGAACACCGAUUGCGAAGGCAUCUCACGAAGCCGCGAUUGACGCUGAUGCACGAAAGCGUGGGUAUCAAACAGGAUUAGAUACCCCUGUAGUC